GACGAACCGUGCGAACGUUAUUCGGAAUCAUUGGGCUUAAAGCGCGUGUAGGCGGAUUCGUGCGUCUGUCGCUGAAAUCCCCCGGCUCAACCGGGGAAGUGGCGUGGAUACGACGAGUCUGGAGGGGCAUAGGGGGGACCUGGAACUUCCGGUGGAGCGGUGAAAUGCGUUGAGAUCGGAAGGAACGCCCGUGGCGAAAGCGAGGUCCUGGAUGCUUACUGACGCUGAGACGCGAAAGCCAGGGGA
RNAcentral lists this ribosomal RNA (246 nucleotides) under uncultured bacterium. RNAcentral's name for it is "partial 16S ribosomal RNA". It matches the Rfam family "Bacterial small subunit ribosomal RNA", at positions 524 to 767 of the family's 1533-position model. The record is from RNAcentral.